Molecule: ribosomal RNA, 497 nt
Filed under: uncultured bacterium
Lineage: Bacteria
Description: partial 16S ribosomal RNA
Rfam family: Bacterial small subunit ribosomal RNA
Source: RNAcentral
GAUGAACGCUGGCGGCGUGCCUAAUACAUGCAAGUCGAGCGAACAGACGAGGAGCUUGCUCCUCUGACGUUAGCGGCGGACGGGUGAGUAACACGUGGAUAACCUACCUAUAAGACUGGGAUAACUUCGGGAAACCGGCGCUAAUACCGGAUAAUAUAUUGAACCGCAUGGUUCAAUAGUGAAAGACGGUUUUGCUGUCACUUAUAGAUGGUUCCGCGCCGCUUUAGCUAGUUGGUAAGGUAAAGGCCUAUCAAGGCAACCAUGCGUAUCCGACCGGAGAGGGUGAUCGGCCACACGGGAACUGAGACACGGUCCAGGCUCCUACGGGAGGCAGCAGUCGGGAAUCUUCCGCAAUGGGCGAAAGCCUUACGGAGCAACGCCGCGUGAGUUAUGAAGGUCUUCGGAUCGUAAAACUCUGUUAUUAGUGAAGAACAAAUGUGUAAGUAACUAUGCACGUCUUGACGGUACCUAAUCAGAAAGCCACGGCUAACUACGUG